Molecule: ribosomal RNA, 468 nt
Filed under: uncultured bacterium
Lineage: Bacteria
Description: partial 16S ribosomal RNA
Rfam family: Bacterial small subunit ribosomal RNA
Source: RNAcentral
GACGAACGCUGGCGGCGUGCUUAACACAUGCAAGUCGAACGGAAAGGCCCUGCUUUUGUGGGGUGCUCGAGUGGCGAACGGGUGAGUAACACGUGAGUAACCUGCCCUUGACUUUGGGGUAACUUCAGGAAACUGGGGCUAAUACCGGAUAGGAGCUCCUGCUGCAUGGUGGGGGUUGGAAAGUUUCGGCGGUUGGGGAUGGACUCGCGGCUUAUCAGCUUGUUGGUUGGGUAGUGGCUUACCAAGGCUUUGACGGGUAGCCGGCCUGAGAGGGUGACCGGCCACAUUGGGACUGAGAUACGGCCCAGACUCCUACGGGAGGCAGCAGUGGGGAAUAUUGCACAAUGGGCGGAAGCCUGAUGCAGCAACGCCGCGUGCGGGAUGACGGCCUUCGGGUUGUAAACCGCUUUCGCCUGUGACGAAGCGUGAGUGACGGUAAUGGGUAAAGAAGCACCGGCUAACUACGUG